Molecule: ribosomal RNA, 301 nt
Filed under: uncultured bacterium
Lineage: Bacteria
Description: partial 16S ribosomal RNA
Rfam family: Bacterial small subunit ribosomal RNA
Source: RNAcentral
CAGUAGCCGCGGUAAUACGAAGGGGGCUAGCGUUGCUCGGAAUGACUGGGCGUAAAGGGCGCGUAGGCGGCUUGCACAGUCAGAUGUGAAAUUCCUGGGCUUAACCUGGGGGCUGCAUUUGAUACGUGUGGGCUAGAAUGUGAAAGAGGGUCGUGGAAUUCCCAGUGUAGAGGUGAAAUUCGUAGAUAUUGGGAAGAACACCGGUGGCGAAGGCGGCGACCUGGUUCAUGAUUGACGCUGAGGCGCGAAAGCGUGGGGAGCAAACAGGAUUAGAUACCCCCGUAGUCCCUGUCUCUUAUAC